Molecule: ribosomal RNA, 497 nt
Filed under: uncultured bacterium
Lineage: Bacteria
Description: partial 16S ribosomal RNA
Rfam family: Bacterial small subunit ribosomal RNA
Source: RNAcentral
GAUGAACGCUGGCGGCGGGCCUAACACAUGCAAGUCGAACGGUGAAACGCUAACCUCUUGCGUGUGCGGGUGUCGGGGGCCAGCGGGGUAGUAACACGAUAGUAACCUACUUUUUCGUGCGGGAUAACGGCAGGAAAGUGACGCUAAUACGGCAUAUGCUGUACCUGUGGCAUCAUGGGUCCUUCAGAGCUUUCGUGUCGGUGUGGGAUGGGCUCGUGUCGGCUUAGCGGGUUGGUGGGGUCAUGGCCUACCAAGGCGGCGUUGCGUAGCCGGCGUGAGAGGAUGAUCAGCCACACUGGAACGGAGACAAGGUCCAGACGCCUACGGGAGGCAGCAGUAGUGAAUAUUAUAGAAUGGUCGGAAGAAGGAUGCAGCAAUGCCGCGGCGGUGAAGAUGGACUCCGUGUUGUAAAGAACUUCUUUCGGGAAAGAAGAGCGGCUGGUUAAUAUGUGGCUGGGUUGACGGUACCUAAAUAAGAAGCACCGGCUAACUACGUG